GACGAACGCUGGCGGCGUGCCUAAUACAUGCAAGUUGAGCGCUGAAGGUUGGUACUUGUACCAACUGGAUGAGCAGCGAACGGGUGAGUAACGCGUGGGGAAUCUGCCUUUGAGCGGGGGACAACAUUUGGAAACGAAUGCUAAUACCGCAUAAAAACUUUAAACACAAGUUUUAAGUUUGAAAGAUGCAAUUGCAUCACUCAAAGAUGAUCCCGCAUUGUAUUAGCUAGUUGGUGAGGUUAAGGCUCACCAAGGCGAUGAUACAUAGCCGACCUGAGAGGGUGAUCGGCCACAUUGGGACUGAGACACGGCCCAAACUCCUACGGGAGGCAGCAGUAGGGAAUCUUCGGCAAUGGACGAAAGUCUGACCGAGCAACGCCGCGUGAGUGAAGAAGGUUUUCGGAUCGUAAAACUCUGUUGGUAGAGAAGAACGUUGGUGAGAGUGGAAAGCUCAUCAAGUGACGGUAACUACCCAGAAAGGGACGGCUAACUACGUG
This 497-nucleotide ribosomal RNA is filed under the name uncultured bacterium. RNAcentral's name for it is "partial 16S ribosomal RNA". It matches the Rfam family "Bacterial small subunit ribosomal RNA", at positions 28 to 507 of the family's 1533-position model. The record is from RNAcentral.